AUUUAUGUAGUUUAAUAAAACAUUACAUUUUCAAUGUAAAGAUAAAAGAAUUUUUUUUAUAAAUA
RNAcentral lists this transfer RNA (65 nucleotides) under Psolodesmus mandarinus. RNAcentral describes it as "tRNA-Glu". It matches the Rfam family "tRNA". Rfam says of the family: Transfer RNA (tRNA) molecules are approximately 80 nucleotides in length. Their secondary structure includes four short double-helical elements and three loops (D, anti-codon, and T loops). Lineage: Eukaryota; Metazoa; Arthropoda; Insecta; Odonata; Calopterygidae. The record is from RNAcentral.